GGUUGCGAUCAUACCAGCACUAAUGCACCGGAUCCCAUCAGAACUCCGCAGUUAAGCGUGCUUGGGCGAGAGUAGUACUAGGAUGGGUGACCCCCGAAGAAGUCCUCGUGUUGCAACCC
This 119-nucleotide ribosomal RNA is filed under the name Helianthus annuus (common sunflower). The record is from RNAcentral. Lineage: Eukaryota; Viridiplantae; Streptophyta; Magnoliopsida; Asterales; Asteraceae.